CACAGGGCUAGAUGGCUGCGUCGGGGACGGGAGCGGAGGUGAGCAGGCGCUAGGGCCGUGUCCCCCAGCCGGCCCUUCCUCCAGCGCUCUGUGGACCCCGCAGAAGGCGCUCGCCUUCCUAGCCCGCAAACGCGUAAUCUAUUUUUCUCGCUGUGGCAACGGGGACGUCCCGCAAGAUCCUCAGCUCCGAUAGGCAACUUCGGCCUUCCCUGCCCUGACCUGGAACCUCUGGGAGGGCUGCAGAGUAAGUGCCGCCUCUGCGCUCUGACGGAGGCACGAGGCCUGCGGAAUAGGUCCCUCUGUUCCGACAGGUGCGACACUUAGCGCUCCAUGCCUGCGGGCUCCGGGAGGCAUGGCCUCCCCCAGGGCCGCCACCUCUGCUGGUUGCUCUGUGCUUUCACCUUAAAGCUCUGUCAAGCAGAGGCUCCCGUGCAGGAGGGGAAGCUGUCAGCGAGCACCUCAAAUUUGCCAUGCUGGCUGGUGGAAGAGUUUGUGGUAACAGCAGAGUGCUCUCCAUGCUCUAAUUUCCAGGCUAAAACUACCCCUGAGUGUGGUCCCACAGGGUAUGUAGAGAAAAUCACAUGCAGCUCAUCUAAGAAAAUUGAGUUCAAAAGCUGCCGCUGAGCUUUGAUGGAACAACACUUAUUUUGGAAGUUCGAAGGGGCUGUUGUGUUUGUGGCCCUGAUCUUCUCUUGUCUUGUCAUCAUUCGUCAGCGACAACUGGACAGAAAGGCUCUGGAAAAGGUCCGGAAGCAAAUUGAGUCCAUAUAGCUACAUUCCACCCUUUUAUCCUGGGUCUUAGAGACCCAAUCUCAGACAGUGAAAGUGAAAUGGACUGAUUUGCACUCUUGGUUCUUUGGAGGCUUGUGGUGGAAUCCCCCUUUCCCCGUCGUCUUCUUUCAGAUCAUUAAUGAGCAGAAUAAAAAGAGUAAAAUGGUUUCC
Molecule: RNA transcript, 942 nt
Organism: Piliocolobus tephrosceles (Ugandan red Colobus)
Lineage: Eukaryota; Metazoa; Chordata; Mammalia; Primates; Cercopithecidae
Gene name: protein JTB pseudogene
Exons: 1
Source: RefSeq, a predicted model, not a curated record